This 443-nucleotide ribosomal RNA is filed under the name uncultured bacterium. RNAcentral's name for it is "partial 16S ribosomal RNA". It matches the Rfam family "Bacterial small subunit ribosomal RNA", at positions 338 to 795 of the family's 1533-position model. The record is from RNAcentral.
CCUACGGGGGGCAGCAGUGAGGAAUAUUGGUCAAUGGACGAGAGUCUGAACCAGCCAAGUAGCGUGAAGGAUGACUGCCCUAUGGGUUGUAAACUUCUUUUAUAAGCGAGAAAUAUGAUGGUAACUUAUGAAUAAGGAUCGGCUAACUACGUGCCAGCAGCCGCGGUCAUACGUAGGAUCCGAGCAUUAUCCGGAGUGACUGGGUGUAAAGAGUUGCGUAGGUGGCAUAAUAAGUAGCUAGUGAAAUCUGGUGGCUCAACCAUUCAGACUAUUAGCUAAACUGUUAAGCUCGAGACCGUUAGGGGUAGCUGGAAUUUCUGGUGUAGGAGUGAAAUCCGUAGAUAUUAGAAGGAACACCAAUAGCGUAGGCAGGUUACUGGGACGGUUCUGACACUAAGGCACGAAAGCGUAGGGAGCAAACGGGAUUAGAUACCCGGGUAGUC